GCUUUUUUCUGCAAAUUGAAGGACCAUUCUGUGACCAUGUAAAUGCACUCAUACACUGGUUGAAUUCUUACUGCCUUGCUUGUCACUCCAUAAAUCCUGCAAAACAGUGCCACAACUGUGAAGUUGAGUCUAUCCAGUUUCAGAUAUCCAUGGUUUGUGUUUUGCAGCAGGCGGAUUUCGGGUGAUUAAUAUCUGGAGUUUCUUCAUCUUCAUGAUAGAAAGUUGCUCUGUCCUGACUUUGUUCUCUUGCAUUGCAGAAUUUGGGCACAGGGUGUCUGAAAUGGCAAAUUUCAAUCUGUUCAUGAGAAACACCAGGGAUUUAACUGGCCUUUUAUUCUUCACCUAGAGAAAACCUGGACCUGUUCUGCUGGAGUGCAAACACCCAUUAGCAGCUGUAACUCAAGACCUAGUCUGGAUUUUACCCUCCCAGAUCUCAAUGGGUUGCUGAUUAAACAAAUGGAACAGUAUACUGUAGAAAAAAUAGAAAUACGUGGAGAAAGAGAAGAUUGCAGAAGCAACUUGUCGCAGAACGACAGUUUUCACCAUCUGUUUAUCAAUUUUCAAACUGAAAUGGAACACAUGAAGUACAUAUGAAAGAGGAGAGAGGUUCUUUGUGGGAGGUGCUACUGAACUUACUCAACAGCAGCCUUUCAAAUACAGUCUUCUUACUUUUCAUCCUGAGCUUUAGAAGGUAAACAUUUGGGUUUACAGAUCUACAGCCAGCGUUUUAGGAGUGUAUGAUACUGCAGUAUUUCUUCUGCUUAUCAGCUCAACCUGGAGGAAUAGUUGGACUUUUUAAAUUACUGUCUUCACUGCACUCAGCUUCUGGACACUGAUGUAUUUUUGCCUUUGUUUCUAAGAAUCAUCCAGUCUCUUAAAUGCUUUUACAAAUUAAGCUUGAAUGCAAGCUUUCACCACUAUCUGAAGUGCAACUUAUUAUUUCUGAUGAUCCUUCCUCCUUUUGAAAUGCCACUCAACAUAUCUUUACUGGAACCAUUAAAUAUAACUCAACCAAAUAAAUAAAUAAGAAGACUAUUUCUGGCA
Molecule: long non-coding RNA, 1044 nt
Filed under: Parus major (Great Tit)
Lineage: Eukaryota; Metazoa; Chordata; Aves; Passeriformes; Paridae
Description: lncRNA (ENSPMJG00000011435.1)
Source: RNAcentral